GGAACCAGUUUGCAUAUUUCAGAGCCCAGAGCUCUUAUCCUCGUACAAGAUGAACUCAAUUUUUGGAGUUGUGGACGCUGAAGAGAGUCUAAUCAGUUGCAUUGUUCUUAGAAUUUUUGUCAGCUAGAUAUCUUUUGGAUCCACUUCACAACGAAUUUUGGCUGCUUCUGGGGUUUAACUAACUUCCCUAUUUGUUCAGUUCAUCACCUGCAUUUCUUCUUCACCCUUUUCUUGUCAAGAAAACAUGGCCGAAGUCAUCCGGUUCUCUUCCUCUACCAGAAUUUUACCGUCAAGAGCAAACCCAUUUCAUUUUCAUCUGUCCCGCGACGUUUCCUUGUUCAGUUUAUGCCAAAAUUUCUCAUCCCCAAGCUUCAAAACACUUUCUUUACCUAAAAAAUUAGCGGCUUCUUAUUUUCCCGGGACUUUUCAUGUGUUUGGAGGGGAAAUCGGGGUGAUUAAUGCUUGGAGCGGAGAAGGAUCCUUGCAGGAGCUGGAUGACUCGCCUGUUUCUGUUGAGCUGGAACCUAUUUGUAGCGAGAGCCAAUUCGAUCGGGUCAUAGCAGAAGCACAGCAACUUGAAGAAUCGGUUAUUGUUGUUUGGAUGGCGAGUUGGUGCAGAAAAUGUAUAUAUUUGAAACCGCAAUUGGAAAAGUUGGCAGCUGAUUACUAUCCAAGAUUGCGAUUCUAUUGUGUUGAUGUCAAUAAUGUUCCCCAUAAGCUUGUUGCUUAUGCAGGAGUCACUGUAAGUCUCACAGUUCCAUAUAGUUUAUGUUUUCUGUAAUUGUCUUGCUGUCUAAUUUUAUAUUUUUGUAUUUGAACUGUCAAAGCCUCUAAUAUUUGGUUAUAGCUUAAUAGUUGAAAAGGCAUUCUUUUGUAGAGGAAUAGAAGAGGGAAUCAUUCCUUCUUGGAGCCUACUUAACUACAUAAAACUCCAACUUCUUGCUGAAAUCUAGUAAUGUUUGGGUUACACUCUUCUCUCUUUUUCUAAAUGCAAAUUCCUAUGUUGGACUAAUUGCUAUUACUAAAACUCUCAACUAAGGUUACAUUUUAAAUAGAUAACUUGCAUUUGCAAAUUUUCUAACUCCACUCGUCAAUGAUUCUAAACUCGGUAAGGUCAUGUAUAGCCAAUUCCAAGCAUGGAGAAAGCGGGGGGGCUGCAAUAAAUGACAGCCAGAGGCAGGGAGGAAGGCCAAACUUAUUGAACAUGAAAGAGGCAGGAAGAUAAGGGAUAGGCUCUGGCUCACAUGGGAUAAAGUAGAAAAGAAGGAUUGUAACAGCAGUAGAUCUUUCUAAAGAUGAAGCCCUAAACAGAUUUGAAUGGAGAAAAUGGAUCCAUGUGACCAACUACAAUUAGAUUGGGAAUUUGGGAUUAAAGUUUAGUUUAGCUAACUUGAACAUAUUAGAUAAAGACCUCUGCUGGUGUAACCAAAGAAUUCAUGAAUAUAACUCAAUGUACAUUCAUAUUUAUCUUUUUUGGCUUUAAGAAUUUGAUAUUCAUACACAAUUAUUGUGUAGGUUUGGAAAAAUUGCCAUUUAAAAUUCAUAUGUUAUGCCAAAUCCUUUUUGUGGUUGUUAAAUAAGCAUACCUCUAUGUUAGGUUUUGACAAGAAAUUUAGAUGAAUUUUUAAUAGAACCUUAACUGUAGGAUUACUGGCAAAAAAUAUGGAAAUCCAAUUAGAUUGUGUUUGGACUCUGGUGCAUAAAAUGGGUAGCUUAUUUAAGUCUUGA
RNAcentral lists this unclassified non-coding RNA (1728 nucleotides) under Hevea brasiliensis (rubber tree). The record is from RNAcentral. Lineage: Eukaryota; Viridiplantae; Streptophyta; Magnoliopsida; Malpighiales; Euphorbiaceae.